UACGUAGGGGGCUAGCGUUGUCCGGAAUCAUUGGGCGUAAAGCGCGUGUAGGCGGUCCGGUAAGUCCGCUGUGAAAGUCGAGGGCUCAACCCUCGAAUGCCGGUGGAUACUGUCGGGCUUGAGUACGGGAGAGGCGAGUGGAAUUCCUGGUGUAGCGGUGAAAUGCGCAGAUAUCAGGAGGAACACCGAUGGCGAAGGCAGCCCCCUGGGCUAACACUGACGCUCAUGCACGAAAGCGUGGGGAGCAAACAGG
Molecule: ribosomal RNA, 253 nt
Filed under: uncultured bacterium
Lineage: Bacteria
Description: partial 16S ribosomal RNA
Rfam family: Bacterial small subunit ribosomal RNA
Source: RNAcentral